Molecule: small nuclear RNA, 318 nt
Filed under: Nannospalax galili (Upper Galilee mountains blind mole rat)
Lineage: Eukaryota; Metazoa; Chordata; Mammalia; Rodentia; Spalacidae
Description: 7SK RNA (ENSNGAG00000006962.1)
Rfam family: 7SK RNA
About the family: 7SK was discovered as an abundant small nuclear RNA in the mid-70s but a possible function has only recently been suggested.
Source: Rfam by way of RNAcentral
GGUUAUAGGGUGAUCUAACUGUGAUAUCUGUCAUCCCCUUGGCUGAUCUUUAGUGCUCAUUCAGCUGAUCUGGCUGGUGACUGGUGUUCCCUUCCUGUCUCUUCGCUCCACGUGCAUGUGUGUACCUUCCUAAGCUGUGGGCUGGUUCAACCAAAGAGGAUGACUUUCCCCAAUGGAAGAGGACAUCUCUUUGAUCAAGGGUAUCUGAAUUGCUUCAUUGUGGUGCUAGGGCUUCCAGACAAGCUCUCAAGACUGGCUUGAACACUGUGCAUGCCAGAAUCCAAGAAUGGUGCAAAAUUAAUAACCAUUAUGGCCUUU